GCGUUGGUGGUAUAGUGGCGAGCAUAGUUGCUUCCCAAGCAAUUGACCCAGGUUCAAUUCCGGGCCAAUGCA
This is a non-coding RNA of Bufo bufo (common toad), 72 nucleotides long. The record is from the annotation of a RefSeq genome assembly. Lineage: Eukaryota; Metazoa; Chordata; Amphibia; Anura; Bufonidae.